RNAcentral lists this ribosomal RNA (222 nucleotides) under uncultured bacterium. RNAcentral's name for it is "partial 16S ribosomal RNA". It matches the Rfam family "Bacterial small subunit ribosomal RNA", at positions 328 to 539 of the family's 1533-position model. The record is from RNAcentral.
ACGCUCGACACCUACGGGAGCAGCAGUAGGGAAUCUUCCGCAAUGGACGAAAGUCUGACGGAGCAACGCCGCGUGAACGAUGAAGGUUUUCGGAUCGUAAAGUUCUGUUGUUAGGGAAGAACAAACUUCGUUUGAAUAAGGCGGAGUCAUGACGGUACCUAACGAGAAAGCCACGGCUAACUACGUGCCACAGCCGCGGUAAUCUGAGCGGGCUGGCAAGGC